GAUGAAGAACGUAGCGAAAUGCGAUACUUGGUGUGAAUUGCAGAAUCCCGUGAACCAUCGAGUCUUUGAACGCAAGUUGCGCCCGAAGCCACUAGGCCGAGGGCACGCCUGCCUGGGCGUCACACGCCGUUGCCCCCCCAUCUACUCCUUCGGGAUUGCGGGGGGGCGGAUGAUGGCCUCCCGUGCGCCUAGCCGCGCGGUUGGCAUAAAUACCAAGUCCUCGGCGACGCACGCCACGACAAUCGGUGGUUGCGAAACCUCGGUUGCCCGUCGUGUGCGUUCGUCGCGCAUCGAGGGCUCGAAAAAAUGCUCGGCUCCGGCUGGGCUUUCAAAGCGACCCCAGGUCAGGCGGGGUUACCCGCUGAAUUUAAGCAUAUCAAUAAGCGGAGGA
Molecule: unclassified non-coding RNA, 391 nt
Filed under: soil metagenome
Description: partial contains 5.8S ribosomal RNA, internal transcribed spacer 2, and large subunit ribosomal RNA
Rfam family: 5.8S ribosomal RNA (bases 1-122)
Source: RNAcentral